This 337-nucleotide ribosomal RNA is filed under the name uncultured Syntrophaceae bacterium. Its description in RNAcentral is "bacterial SSU rRNA". It matches the Rfam family "Bacterial small subunit ribosomal RNA", at positions 1047 to 1382 of the family's 1533-position model. The record is from RNAcentral. Lineage: Bacteria; Pseudomonadati; Thermodesulfobacteriota; Syntrophia; Syntrophales; Syntrophaceae.
GUGCUGUCGUCAGCUCGUGUCGUGAGAUGUUGGGUUAAGUCCCGCAACGAGCGCAACCUUGUCAUUAGUUGCCAUCAUUUAGUUUGGGGCACUUUUAAAGAGACUGCCGGUGUUAAGCCGGAGAAGUGGGGAUGACGUCAAGUCCUCAUGGCCUUUAUGCCCAGGGCUACACACGUGCUACAAUGGGCGGUACAAAGAGAAGCAACCUCGCGAGGGUGAGCAAAUCUCAAAAAGCCGUUCUCAGUUCGGAUUGAAGUCUGCAACUCGACUUCAUGAAGUCGGAAUCGCUAGUAAUCGCGGAUCAGCAUGCCCGCGGUCGAAUACGUUCCCGGGCCUU